UUUAUUCGGUUAAAUAUUAAGUUUUAGAUUGAUGUUAGAACAAGUAACAUGAUAACUAGUAAAAAAAAUAGUAUUUAUAUCAAAAUACAUCAUCUUUAAGUGUCAUAUUUGAAUUUUAACUGUUUUUUGUUUAGCUGGGCUACUGCUAGCUAGAACUCUGCAAAGUACCAGUUACUUUCCUAAUAUUCAUUUAGCAUAAUCUGGCUAUUGGCAGACUGUAAUGAAUAUUACUUAAUAUAUGUCACAGUUUUUAUUAAAUGCCUUUUAUUUAUUUUUUAAUUAAACUGCCAAAGCCUUAGGGUCAGUGGUCUCAAACUCCAGGCCCAGAGGCCACUUGCGGCCCACGUCACCCCUUCUUGCGGCCUGUAUAUUGAGGUGAAGAAGUAUAAUGCAAUUUGGCCCUUGAAGUGACUUUUUUUUUGGUCAUUAACCAAAAAUGAUUUAAUAUGAAGGCAAUAAGGGCAGAGUGUUACAGGCCCUCAUGGGCAGUGUAGUCCGUGCUGUAGGGAGAACGUUGUGUGUUUGAGCGCGAGAGAGGGAGAAAGUAGGAGCUGUUACCGAGGAGAAAUGGAAGAAGAAAGCAUGUAAAUAUAAUAAUAACCACUGCCGCCAAAAGGAGUGCCUGGUUGUAAGAAAGCUGUUAAGACUCGACUGUACACUGUGUUCGCUGACAGUAAAGCUACAAGCCCGACAAUCCGACGUAUUAGCCAGAGGUCUCUUUACCACGGUUCAGAGCCGCGGACCUGGCCGAGGUAACAAGAGAGUACAAGCAUGUGGAGGGAUUGGCUUUGUUAGUUCAGUGAGAGUCAAAAACUAAUGUGUACACUUAUUUCUGCAUUUUUAUUUUGUUAAAUAUGAACAAAAUUACAGCAGAAGUGCUGCAAAGUGUCUGACCAGAAAGAGAGGACCAUUGUGUUCAUUUGGUAGUUCAAUUAAAGGCAUCGGUUAGUUAAGAGUAAGAGGGGGGAAAAUGCGUUCAUAUUUGCAGUUUUGUCUUGUUAUACAAUAUUUGAAAUUUAAAAACAAACAAACCAAACGCUACAUUGUCAGGAAUAUUUGUGGGUGUUUUCUUUGUGGUUUCUGUUUUUUUUACUUCUUGAACACUGAAGUGGCCCUCCAAUGAGAUGACAGCUCAUUUAAGUUUGAGACCCUGCCUUAGGUGAACUAGGAUGCUUAAGGGUAACCUGAGAGUAUUUUUACACUAUAAUGGCCCCUACAUCUUGUAAAUUAUGGGAAUUUCAUUAUAGUGCGCAUUUCUGUAGCCAGUAGGGUAUUUUUCUUUUUUUUAGAUUAAAAUUUUUUCAUGGUAAAUUAAGCAUUUUCUAGUCUAAAAAUGAAUAACAGGGUUAUAUUAGGGUUUGUUAGAGAGUGGUGAGGGUUUUUAUGGCUUAAAAUAUAUAAUAAAAUAGAAAUAUGGUUUCUACUGACCCCUGCGAUAAUUGAGAGAAUACUGUAUUGCAGUCAUGUUACACAGCUUGUACUACUUAAAGAUGGACCAAGGAUGUUUUUUCUUAACAAAAUGAAUUUUAGCUCAGUCUAAAGGGACUAGACAUGCUAGAUAUUUUGCAAAGAAAUGGUGUUAUAUGCUUGACCUUAUUCUACUCUUGGAAGGUGGUGAUAUGCUGGUUCCUGACAAGAGAUGAAGAAAUCAAAGUCAGCUUUUCAAGACAGCCCCAAGACUCCUCGCAACCUGUGUUCAAAUGUGAGGCUGUUGUCAGGUGAUGAAUGCAAGGAAGAGGCACUCAACUGACAUGAAACAUGUCAAAGACAACAUGGAGGUGACAUUUCAACAUAGGCAAAAAGUGGUUCAAGAACCUGCCACAGCUUCUACUGUCCUGGACCUUUUCCCAAGAUUUCUGUAUACACCUGGCUUGGUUGACCAAGACUUCACAAUGCUGUUUGUUGGGGAGGAAGUGUCUGCUAAGUUCCUUGCAAAGUGGCCAACCAAGCCAAGGAUCAUCAAAGAUUGCAAAAAUCUGUUUUAGAGUACAGAAUUGGAUGAGCUGCUCAUUUCUGCACAGCGUUACUCUGACGAGGGUGUUUGGGACUGCGAGGCGGCUGCCAGCUUUUGCUGCUUCACUUGUACCUCCAACAUCUAAGGGAGGGAAGUCUUCAAAGAUUAGCACAUCAGAUGCUGCUCACCACCUAAUGAAAUUCAUCAAGGUGGGAGGUAGCACAGCGGCUUUUCUUAAGGCUGGCCUCUCAGCCAUUCGUCCUGUGUGUUGGAGAAAGAAAGAACAUCAUCCAGAGUUUCUACAUUAUCCUAGAUCAAAAGGUCAUUCCCUGUGUGACACAGAUGGGAGUUGCAGGUUUUGACAAGGCAAAACUUUUCAAGGCACAUUUUUUAUUUGCCGUGUCCUUUGACAAGGCAUUGAACAACUUCUACACAUUCAUCCAGACCACCGUGUAUGGCAUUGAUGUUGGCAGUGUGAAGGAGAGUCCUCGGGUCAGGGAAACAAGAGGAAGUCUUCAUUGUACAGUUUAAAGAUAUCCACUAUUCAGCACUUUGACUGGAAAUGUUCAUCUCUUACAUUUGCAAGAUACACCACACAAGUUGCUCAGUGUUAUUUAGACAUUUGAAGUUCCAGCAUGGUUUGUACCCAGGAAGGUUUUUACGUUUGACCUGUGGAGAGCCUGGAUGUUCAUUUAUCUUUCGCACGUACUCUGAUUACAAGCGGCACUUACUCCGAGCACAUGGAGACUGUCUUCACUCUGAGGUCAUCAAUAAUUUUGAGCCUGUACCUAACGAUGGAACCUCUGUUUCACAGCCUGUAAAUGUGGCUCAUCCCAUGACAAUUACUACACAGGUUCCAGUUGAAAAAAGGCAAAUACUGAACAUGUGCAGCUCUGUUAUUGCUCAGGUACAAUCAUCAGGAGUUCCUGAAAGUACUGUGCAGUGUUUAGUUGUUUCAUUGGAGGAACUGGUUAAUGACAUCCAUGCACAUGCAAAACAAUCUGUUGUUGACUGUUUGUCAACUGAUACCAUGAUACAGAUAUCAAGUUGGGAUGUAUGUUUGUUCUGGUGUUGAAAAUGAGAUGCCUUUGUUCAGUAAGAUUGUCAAUAUAAUUGUUAGAUUGCAAUGCUUAUCUUCUAACUUGUAAGGCUUCAACAGUAUAUUUCAAUGAUCACUUAAAUGCAUUUGUUAUUGAGGAUGGAUUAGAUGUCUUUGCACUGAUCUCUGUAGAUGAUCUGGUGUACUAUAGACCUUAUGAUAGGCAAUUUUCAAAUGGCACUGAUGACAAAAUGUACAUUGUCCCAUACUGUAAUUUUGUAUAACUUGUUUAUUUGUGGUGUAUCAGAAUACAAAGUAUUUUGGAACGUUAA
Molecule: long non-coding RNA, 3325 nt
Organism: Oreochromis niloticus (Nile tilapia)
Lineage: Eukaryota; Metazoa; Chordata; Actinopteri; Cichliformes; Cichlidae
Exons: 4
Source: RefSeq, a predicted model, not a curated record